CCAAUAGCGUAUAUUAAAGUUGUUGCAGUUAAAAAGCUCGUAGUUGAAUUUCGGGACUAAUAUGUCGGUCGUACUUUGUACGUACUAACAUUAUUGGUUUCUCCCUUCUGACGAACCACGAUGUCAUUAAUUUGGUGUCGCGGGAAAUCAGGACUGUUACUUUGAAAAAAUUAGAGUGUUUAAAGCAAGCUCGCGCUUGAAUACAUUAGCAUGGAAUAAU
Molecule: ribosomal RNA, 220 nt
Filed under: uncultured Glomus
Lineage: Eukaryota; Fungi; Glomeromycota; Glomeromycetes; Glomerales; Glomeraceae
Description: partial small subunit ribosomal RNA
Rfam family: Eukaryotic small subunit ribosomal RNA
Source: RNAcentral